UCUCGCUUAAACAAAUUUGAUUCUCCUUUGAUGACAUAUUCCCUUUUGCUAGAGCUGACAGAGAAUCGAUUGAACUUCUAUUAAGUUAUGUCAGCUUCAUUAAAUCAUCUGUAACCCAUAUGUGAGCUCAGCAUGCUCUCUUGAAUCCUCCAUAAUUAUUUCCACCAAACUUGUCAUCCUGAAUUUUAGGAUGCUUUAAAAUAAGCUUCAUGUUGUUUGAAGUUCUACUUUUGUUUUCGAUUGUGAAAUUUUCGAAACACUGGCUUCACUCUCUUGACCCAACCUCUAGUUCCUUCAAAAUUUUCCACCAUUCUUGUUGGUUGUUAUUUGUCAGCUUUGUAUAUGGUCGGCGAAAUAUUUCAUCUUCAUCUGCGUUCUCUUCUUGCAUGAAGAUGAUGAUGCUCAUUUGGGUUCUUCCUCAAUUUUUUGACAGUUGCAGUCUGGGUUUGAUAUACUAUCAGCCAAGCAAAAGGGCAAUAAUGGAGGAAGAUACAUUUGCCACCCAGUAUGAAGAUUACACGAAAAAAAUCCAAUUCAGGUUCAUACCACAAUUCAGAAUUAAAAAUAUCAAUACACUCCUCCACCACCGAAUCCUCCACGUCUCUUUUCCGGUCGGUCGGAGCUUUGCGCCAGUUAAGAGGAGAAGUGUGAUCGGAGAGUGAAAUCCACCACCUCACUACCGUUCCUUCCAAAUUAUCCUCAGAUUGACUAAAUGUUGGCAUUUGUUUCUAUUUUGAAAUAACUCGAAAAAUCAGGGGCCGAUUUUGUCGCGAGAGCGAUCUGGAAAUCAUUAAUGUUUCUCGUAAUAACAGAAUUAUAAAGGAUCCGAGAUCCAGGAUAAAUGAUAUCAAUCAAGGCUGGAUCUUUCGUGUAUAUGCAUUGUUGACUUCAUGUACCUUCCCGGGUCACAAAAUUUGUCUUUCCCCUACUGUACAUUAUGGUAUAAUUGAAUCCUUAACUUUGAUAACCAUGUUUGUUGUGAUAUUUUUCUUCAUCAGAACUUUUUAUUUUUCUCAUAUAUAGAAAAACAUAAAUGUCUCUUAGCUAGUGUGUUGCUCAGAUAUGCUAUGGGUAUUCCUUUCUACAUCAAUAACGCGCUAAUGCUGGCAUUGGUUUCUAUUUUGAGAUCAAUCGAAAAUCAGGUAAUACUAAUAUCGGAGUGGUAAUUUGA
This is a long non-coding RNA of Impatiens glandulifera, 1171 nucleotides long. RefSeq lists it as uncharacterized. The record is from RefSeq and is a predicted model, not a curated record. The transcript is spliced from 7 exons. NCBI's taxonomy places the organism in Eukaryota, Viridiplantae, Streptophyta, Magnoliopsida, Ericales, Balsaminaceae.